AACGAACGCUGGCGGCAUGCCUAACACAUGCAAGUCGAACGAUCCCUUCGGGGGUAGUGGCGCACGGGUGCGUAACGCGUGGGAACCUGCCCUUAGGUUCGGAAUAACUCAGAGAAAUUUGAGCUAAUACCGGAUAAUGUCUUCGGACCAAAGAUUUAGCGCCUUUGGAUGGGCCCGCGUUGGAUUAGCUAGUUGGUGGGGUAAAGGCCUACCAAGGCGACGAUCCAUAGCUGGUCUGAGAGGAAGAUCAGCCACACUGGGACUGAGACACGGCCCAGACUCCUACGGGAGGCAGCAGUGGGGAAUAUUGGACAAUGGGCGAAAGCCUGAACCAGCAAUGCCGCGUGAGUGAUGAAGGCCUUAGGGUUGUAAAGUUCUUUUACCCGGGAUGAUAAUGACAGUACCGGGAGAAUAAGCCCCGGCUAACUCCGUG
RNAcentral lists this ribosomal RNA (433 nucleotides) under uncultured bacterium. RNAcentral describes it as "partial 16S ribosomal RNA". It matches the Rfam family "Bacterial small subunit ribosomal RNA", at positions 29 to 507 of the family's 1533-position model. The record is from RNAcentral.